GUGAGGAAUAUUGGUCAAUGGGCGGGAGCCUGAACCAGCCAAGUCGCGUGAAGGAAGAAGGAUCUAUGGUUCGUAAACUUCUUUUGCAGGGGAAUAAAGUGCAGGACGUGUCCUGUUUUGUAUGUACCCUGAGAAUAAGGAUCGGCUAACUCCGUGCCAGCAGCCGCGGUAAUACGGAGGAUCCGAGCGUUAUCCGGAUUUAUUGGGUUUAAAGGGUGCGUAGGUGGUUUGAUAAGUCAGCGGUGAAAGUUUGCAGCUUAACUGUAAAAAUGCCGUUGAAACUGUCGGACUUGAGUGUAAAUGAGGUAGGCGGAAUGCGUGGUGUAGCGGUGAAAUGUAUAGAUAUCACGCAGAACUCCGAUUGCGAAGGCAGCUUACUAAGCUACAACUGACACUGAAGCACGAAAGCGUGGGGAUCAAACAGGAUUAGAAACCCCUGUAGUCC
This 445-nucleotide ribosomal RNA is filed under the name uncultured bacterium. RNAcentral describes it as "partial 16S ribosomal RNA". It matches the Rfam family "Bacterial small subunit ribosomal RNA", at positions 354 to 796 of the family's 1533-position model. The record is from RNAcentral.